AUCCCGUCACCGCGCGCAAGCGCUGGAUCGCCGGUUCGCUCGAGCCGAAGGGAACGCUCACCAUCGACGCUGGGGCCGUCGCGGCACUCCGCGCCGGCAAGAGCCUGCUGCCGGCCGGCGUGAUCCGGGUCGAAGGGCAGUUCGCACGCGGCGACGCCGUGGUGGUGCGCGGCCCCGAUACCCAUGAGAUCGGCCGCGGCCUGAUCGCCUACGACGCUGAGGAUGCAGACAGGAUCAAGGGCCGCUCGUCCUCGGACGCAGCACAA
RNAcentral lists this unclassified non-coding RNA (266 nucleotides) under Hevea brasiliensis (rubber tree). The record is from RNAcentral. Lineage: Eukaryota; Viridiplantae; Streptophyta; Magnoliopsida; Malpighiales; Euphorbiaceae.